UGGGAAGAUCCCUUGGAGGAGGGCAUGGCAACCCACUCCAUGUGUUCUUGCCUGGAGAUAUUCCAGGGACAGAGGAGCCCCACGGGCGGGCUACAAAGAUUUGGAAACGACUGAAGUAACUUAGCAUGCAUACAUACUUAGCUUCUAGUUGGAAGAAAAGCAACCAUGGAGGACAACCCCUGAGGUGCCAUCCACACUCACCGUGUCUCUGCCUGUCAUACAUCUGACUCCCUCAUCCACAGGGUGGCAACCUGGGAGCCAUUAUUAGAUUAGAUGACUCACGGCCCAGCCAUAGUUGUUUGGAUCAGGAGAGAACAUUGAAUCCAAACUGUCAAUCAGAUCCUGAUUCACUUCAAAACUUCAAGUUUGAUCCAAAACUCUCCCCGUCCUCUCAGCACACAUGAGGCUCAUGGCCCCAGUGACUUGUGUGUGAAUCUGUGUGUUUGUGCACAUGACUGAUGGAGGAGUGCACUGUUCUCUCACAGAAGCCCCACUUGUUCCACAGUGGACCCUUCUAGCACGUGGAGAGGAAGCAGAAGAGGGAGGUGUCUCCUGAGGUGAAGAGGUCUCCUCACUCCAGGUGGCACUCUUUAGGAAUUCAAGUCGAAACAGGCCUAGAAAGAAGCCUGUGAGAGGUCUGGUGACUCCAGGCCUGAAGUCUCCCCCAACAUUCCUCUGCACCCAGAGCCCCUCUGCUUCACCCCUCGAUGGUCCUUGACAAGCCUGCCACCUCCGAUCGUAUAUCUUCUGUGGUCCCAACUCUGGGGUCUAGGAGGAGGUGAGGGGGCUCAUGCUCUAUCAUGAGGGUCUGGGAAACUGCGAGUGUGUUCACUGCACCCCCCCACCCCCACUCCACCUUCUGAUCCCACCAUCACAUCUUGGGCUUCCAUGCUUACUCCCCUAUUGGUAUCUGAGGUGGAUCCGCAAGACCAGUGCUCACCAGUCAUGCAAACAGGGCCUGGGGUGUCAAAUUUCUCUUUCUUUUUAGACACCCAUCAGCUU
Long non-coding RNA from Bos taurus (domestic cattle), 1002 nucleotides. The record is from Ensembl. NCBI's taxonomy places the organism in Eukaryota, Metazoa, Chordata, Mammalia, Artiodactyla, Bovidae.